RNAcentral lists this ribosomal RNA (805 nucleotides) under Pseudoteratosphaeria secundaria. Its description in RNAcentral is "eukaryotic LSU rRNA". It matches the Rfam family "Eukaryotic large subunit ribosomal RNA", at positions 82 to 919 of the family's 3401-position model. Lineage: Eukaryota; Fungi; Ascomycota; Dothideomycetes; Mycosphaerellales; Teratosphaeriaceae. The record is from RNAcentral.
AGUAACGGCGAGUGAAGCGGCAACAGCUCAAAUUUGAAAUCUGGCGCAAGCCCGAGUUGUAAUUUGUAGAGGAUGCUUCAGGGCAGCGGCCGGUCUAAGUUCCUUGGAACAGGACGUCAUAGAGGGUGAGAAUCCCGUAUGCGACCGGUUGGCACCCGUCACGUAGCUCCUUCGACGAGUCGAGUUGUUUGGGAAUGCAGCUCUAAAUGGGAGGUAAAUUCCUUCUAAAGCUAAAUACCGGCCAGAGACCGAUAGCGCACAAGUAGAGUGAUCGAAAGAUGAAAAGCACUUUGGAAAGAGAGUUAAAAAGCACGUGAAAUUGUUGAAAGGGAAGCGCAUGCAACCAGACUCGUCGGCGGUGUUCCGCCGGUCUUUUGACCGGUCUACUCGCCGCCGGCGGGCCAGCAUCACUUGGGGGCGCCGGAUAAAGGCGUGGGGAAUGUGGCUCCUCGGAGUGUUAUAGCCCCGCGCACAAUACGGCGAUCCUCGAGUGAGGUCCGCGCUUCGGCUAGGAUGCUGGCGUAAUGGUUGUUUGCGGCCCGUCUUGAAACACGGACCAAGGAGUCUACCAUCUAUGCGAGUGUUCGGGUGUCAAACCCCUACGCGUAAUGAAAGUGAACGGAGGUGGGAACCGCAAGGUGCACCAUCGACCGAUCCUGAUGUCUUCGGAUGGAUUUGAGUAAGAGCAUAGCUGGUGGGACCCGAAAGAUGGUGAACUAUGCCUGAAUAGGGUGAAGCCAGAGGAAACUCUGGUGGAGGCUCGCAGCGGUUCUGACGUGCAAAUCGAUCGUCAAAUUUGGGUAUA